Molecule: ribosomal RNA, 497 nt
Filed under: uncultured bacterium
Lineage: Bacteria
Description: partial 16S ribosomal RNA
Rfam family: Bacterial small subunit ribosomal RNA
Source: RNAcentral
GACGAACGCUGGCGGCGUGCCUAAUACAUGCAAGUCGAGCGCACGGGCGUGAUGCUUGUAUCUAUUAUGUUAGCGGCGGACGGGUGAGUAACACGUGGAUAAUCUACCUUUAAGCCUGGGAUAACUUCGGGAAACCGGUGCUAAUACCGCAUAAUAUUUUGAAACACAUGGUUCAAGAGUGAAAGAUGCUAUUGCUUCCCCUUAUGGAUGGCUCCGCGCUGCUUUAGCUAUUUGGUAAGGUAACGGCUUACAAAGGCAACGAUGCAUAGCCGACCGGAGAGGUGGAUCGGCCACUCGGGAACUGAGCCACGCUCCAGACCCCAACGGGGGCAAGCAUAGGGGAUCCUUCCGCAUGGAGCGAAGGCCUAACGGGGCAACGCCGCGGGGUGAAGAAGGGUCUCCGGUUCUAAAAACUCGUUGAUAAGGGAGGAAGAUAUGGGGAAGGAACUGUUCACAUCUUGACGGUACCUAAUCAGAAAGCCACGGCUAACUACGUG